GACCCCAUGCCGAACUCAGAAGUGAAACGCCGUAGCGCCGAUGGUAGUGUGGGGUCUCCCCAUGCGAGAGUAGGGAACUGCCUGGC
This 86-nucleotide ribosomal RNA is filed under the name Escherichia coli. The record is from RNAcentral. Lineage: Bacteria; Pseudomonadati; Pseudomonadota; Gammaproteobacteria; Enterobacterales; Enterobacteriaceae.